GACGAACGCUGGCGGCGUGCCUAAUACAUGCAAGUUGAGCGCUGAAGGUUGGUACUUGUACCAACUGGAUGAGCAGCGAACGGGUGAGUAACGCGUGGGGAAUCUGCCUUUGAGCGGGGGACAACAUUUGGAAACGAAUGCUAAUACCGCAUAAAAACUUUAAACACAAGUUUUAAGUUUGAAAGAUGCAAUUGCAUCACUCAAAGAUGAUCCCGCGUUGUAUUAGCUAGUUGGUGCGGUAAAGGCUCACCAAGGCGAUGAUACAUAGCCGACCUGAGAGGGUGAUCGGCCACAUUGGGACUGAGACACGGCCCAAACUCCUACGGGAGGCAGCAGUAGGGAAUCUUCGGCAAUGGACGAAAGUCUGACCGAGCAACGCCGCGUGAGUGAAGAAGGUUUUCGGAUCGUAAAACUCUGUUGGUAGAGAAGAACGUUGGUGAGAGUGGAAAGCUCAUCAAGUGACGGUAACUACCCAGAAAGGGACGGCUAACUACGUG
RNAcentral lists this ribosomal RNA (497 nucleotides) under uncultured bacterium. RNAcentral's name for it is "partial 16S ribosomal RNA". It matches the Rfam family "Bacterial small subunit ribosomal RNA", at positions 28 to 507 of the family's 1533-position model. The record is from RNAcentral.